GACGUAGGGAGCCAGCGUUGUCCGGAUUUACUGGGCGUAAAGGGCGCGUAGGCGGUCUGUUAAGUGUGAAGUGAAAUCUCCAGGGCUCAACCCGGAAACCGCUUCGCAUACUGGCAGACUGGAGGAAGGCAGAGGUAACUGGAAUUCCUGGUGUAGCGGUGAAAUGCGUUGAUAUCAGGAGGAACUCCAAUGGCGAAGGCAGGUUACUGGGCCUUAUCUGACGCUGAGGCGCGAAAGCGUGGGUAGCAAACAGG
RNAcentral lists this ribosomal RNA (254 nucleotides) under uncultured bacterium. RNAcentral describes it as "partial 16S ribosomal RNA". It matches the Rfam family "Bacterial small subunit ribosomal RNA", at positions 524 to 776 of the family's 1533-position model. The record is from RNAcentral.